CCUCCCCCUGGCCCUGGCCCUCCUCCCCCUGGCCCUGGCCCUCCUCCACCCGGCCCAUGGGAGUGCUCUGCCAGCAGGGGCGGUGGGGAGGCACAGGAAGAGGAUUUCCAGGCAGCCCCACGACUGGUGGACCGGGAGGCGGGGAGGCAGAGGAGGCCGAAGGAGUCCCACCCGCGCUGGCCUCUGUGGAACUUCCAGGCUCAGGGGGACGGAGGAGGAAAUCUGGCUUAAAAUGUCCUCAGGGCGGGAGCAACAGGCUGGAGCCGUAGGCUCCACACCCAGCCGUGCAGCCCAGCGUGAAGCCCAAGGUGGGGCUUGAACUCACAACACCAAGGUCACGACCUGAACUGGGAUCAGGAGUCCGGAUGCUUAACCAGGGGGCCAGGACGACGCUGAUUAUUCUCGUACUAAAGCAAACUUAAGUAGGCGGUUCCACGGCCACGGUUCAGCAGAGCCCCCCGAAUGUUCCCCACAAGACUUCCACCGUGGAGACAAUCCCUUGACGUCGAAAAUGAGGAGACGGAGCAGAAAGGGGCCGAGAGGGCCGGUCCUCGGCCAGGCGCCAGGCUGCGGGAGCGCCUCCCGUCCGUCCUCGUCCUCGGGAGUGGGGUUCGUGUCCAGAGAGGAAAGUACUCGGAGGAGCAGAUGCUGAAGUGCCACGGCCCAGCCCGGUGUCCCUGUCCCCGGAGCAGGGCCCGCGGCCUCACUCGGGCCUCAGCAGGGCCCCGGUGGCUCCUCCGACAGCCCGGACCUGAUGGGGGUGGGGGGGCAGUGGGGCAGCUCUCCAUCCCGGGGCCCGACGGGGGGCCCAGGUCUCCAUCCCGGGGCCUGACGGGGGGCCCAGGUCUCCAUCCUGGACCUGACAGGGGGCCCAGGUCUCCAUCCAGGACCCGACAGGGGUCCAGCUCUGAACCCGCACACCCUUUCCACUGUCCCCACAGCUAGUGGCCCCCGCGGGUCGCCCCGGGGCCCUUCGGCCUCCUGCUGCCUCCUUGUUCCCGGUUCCAACGGUGGCGGGGCCUUGGGCAGGGAGGCGGCAAGGACACAGGAUGUCGGAGGAGCAGGGACUCGACCCCAGGACCCCCGAGCCCCCGGGGCGCCCCUGUUCUAGGCCCUUUGUAUGAAUCAGCUGGACGAGAAGCCGUGGGAGAACCCAGGAGCCUCGGCCCGCCCGCCCGCUCGGGGCCACCAGGCCGUGGGUCCCUCUGCCUUCUGCGGAACCCUCCCCUCGGGGCUGCCUGCGCCUCCGCCCAGCUCACGACCGGCCUGGGGUGCAGCCCUAUGGGGCCCCUGCCCAGCGGGUGUUCCCUCCCCUCGCCCCCUCCCCAGCUCCUGCCCUCCCUCUCCCUCUCUCUGUCUCAAGUAAAAAAAAAUCCUUAUAAAAAAAGAGAGACUCCCUUAUUUACAUUAGGAAAGGCCCCCCACAGACAAACCUAAUACAGCCCCUAACCUGCCAGGAAGGCGGGGGCGCCGCGGGCCUCUCCCUCCCUCUGUUGCUCCCCGCUCCUGCCCGGCUCGCACGUGCUCUCGCUCGCUCCCUC
This is an RNA transcript of Canis lupus familiaris (dog), 1541 nucleotides long. It is a transcript of the gene named collagen alpha-1(I) chain-like, with no coding region annotated. The transcript has 4 exons. The record is from RefSeq and is a predicted model, not a curated record. NCBI's taxonomy places the organism in Eukaryota, Metazoa, Chordata, Mammalia, Carnivora, Canidae.